GAUGGACGCUGGCGGCGUGCCUAAUACAUGCAAGUCGAGCGAACGGACGAGAAGCUUGCUUCUCUGAUGUUAGCGGCGGACGGGUGAGUAACACGUGGAUAACCUACCUAUAAGACUGGGAUAACUUCGGGAAACCGGAGCUAAUACCGGAUAAUAUUUUGAACCGCAUGGUUCAAAAGUGAAAGACGGUCUUGCUGUCACUUAUAGAUGGAUCCGCGCUGCAUUAGCUAGUUGGUAAGGUAACGGCUUACCAAGGCAACGAUGCAUAGCCGACCUGAGAGGGGGAUCGGCCACACGGGAACGGAGACACGGCCCAGACCCCUAGGGGGGGCAGGAGUGGGAAAGUUUCCGCAAGGGGCGAAAGCCUGACGGAGCAACGCCGCGUGGGGGAGGAAGGUCUUGGGAUCGUAAAACUCUGUUAUUAGGGAAAAACAUAUGUGUAAGUAACUGUGCACAUCUGGACGGUACCAAAUCAGAAAGCCCCGGCAAACUCCGU
RNAcentral lists this ribosomal RNA (496 nucleotides) under uncultured bacterium. RNAcentral describes it as "partial 16S ribosomal RNA". It matches the Rfam family "Bacterial small subunit ribosomal RNA", at positions 28 to 506 of the family's 1533-position model. The record is from RNAcentral.